GACGAACCGUGCGAACGUUGUUCGGAAUCACUGGGCUUAAAGGGCGCGUAGGCGGGCUCGCAAGUCCGGGGUGAAAGCCCCCAGCUCAACUGGGGAAGUGCCUUGGAUACUGCGGGCCUCGAGGGGGGUAGGGGCGUGCGGAACUUCCGGUGGAGCGGUGAAAUGCGUAGAUAUCGGAAGGAACACCGGUGGCGAAAGCGGCGCGCUGGACCCCUUCUGACGCUGAGGCGCGAAAGCCAGGGGAGCAAACGGG
This 253-nucleotide ribosomal RNA is filed under the name uncultured bacterium. Its description in RNAcentral is "partial 16S ribosomal RNA". It matches the Rfam family "Bacterial small subunit ribosomal RNA", at positions 524 to 776 of the family's 1533-position model. The record is from RNAcentral.